RNAcentral lists this microRNA precursor (74 nucleotides) under Myotis brandtii (Brandt's bat). RNAcentral describes it as "mir-9193 microRNA precursor family". It matches the Rfam family "mir-9193 microRNA precursor family". Lineage: Eukaryota; Metazoa; Chordata; Mammalia; Chiroptera; Vespertilionidae. The record is from Rfam by way of RNAcentral.
CUUGGAGGGGGGGGGUCCCUCUGUCUAGAUUGUGAGAGGACACAGGCCAGGCCGAGGGACUCCACUGGUGUACA